Molecule: long non-coding RNA, 214 nt
Filed under: Mustela putorius furo (domestic ferret)
Lineage: Eukaryota; Metazoa; Chordata; Mammalia; Carnivora; Mustelidae
Description: lncRNA (ENSMPUG00000031751.1)
Source: RNAcentral
CGUCAGUCCGCGCGUGAUAAGGAAAGGGAAGGAGGAAGGAGACCGGGAUGCGGCGGACGGGACGGGAGCUGGACUCUGUCUGGAAAGCUCCAGCUCUGAAUCCUUAGCCGAGUCACCCGUCCCUUUCAAAAGAUAAUGCAAGGACUUCAGAGACUGUCUUUGAGAUGCUCGUCCACUGUCUUCCCAGCAUUGGCCUCACUGGAGUAAAUCCCUU